CUUCUACAGCAGGCCGUACCUCUGCAUCCACCACCACCUUUGUGCCAAGGCCACAGUCUUCCCAGGUGGCCCCCAGCCAAUGAGCGUGCUGUCAGACCUACAUUACUAUCGGAAGGCUCUCCUACUCCUGCCACCUGGUCCUUUACCAUUUGUGUCCCCAGACAUUGCCAAAUGUCCACUGAGAGACCACAUCCCCUGGAUGAGGACCACGAGUGUAAGGUACAGAUGAGCACCCUGUCUUUUGCCUUCACUCUGGUGAAUUUCUUCCAACAAACAUUUAUUGAUAAUUUAUGUCAAGCCCCAGAGGAAGAGAAAUUAAAGAAGCUUACACACUAGCAGAGAAGUACAAGCUCCUCUAGGAAAGGAGACACACAAGAGCAUCUGGUAGCAUGUUGCACCCAAGAAGGGGUCUCAUUCUAGUCAGUCUGCUUGUGGGAGGACAGGCCACUGAAGGAUUCAUCUGGAAGCUCUCUCAUGAAUCUUGAUUGUGUCAGACCAGUAGCCAGUAUUCUUUUGAAGAGCAGACCUUGACAGCUGAAUUUCAGGCUGCACGUGAGACCUAACUAGCUUAAUCAUCGAACCGUAUUAUAAACUAAAGGACAGAGAAGAUUCCAGGUACCAUGCAAAGCAAAUGAAUUCUGCCAGUCCACUCCAAUCUCAAUGGAUUAUGGGAAGAAGAAAUUGGAAGUAGAGAAAGAGGUCCUGGAACAAGAAGAUAUUUUAGAUAAAUCAAGGGGAAAUCUGGGGGCAGAGAAGCUUUUAUUUCACUUCCCAUUUGUGACUGCAGAAGCACACACAAAAAAAACAAAAACAAACAAAAAACAAAAAACAAAAAAAAAACCACACACUGCCACUUUGACCUGCAGAAUCAGAGACCACAUGGAGACCUACCACUCCUGUGCUAAGGAGGCUUCUGCUAAGGUCCAAGAUGGCUGUUCCAGCCCUAGUCAUCAUAUCUGCAUUCCAGCCAGUGGGAAGAAAAAUUGAGGAGGGGCAUUGUGCACCCCUAAGGAUAUACUCAAAUUAAGCACACCAUGAGUUUCCUUGACUCCAGAAGCCUUGCAUUUAUCAUUACAUCCACCUGAAAUGCUUCUAUCUCCUCCUUCCCACCCCCAACAGUGACUCAAAAAUUCCAGCAGGAGCACAUAACUACAAGCAGCUGAGAGCUUUCCCUUGCUCCAUUGGUGACUAGAAGGCUGGAAGUGCUAAGGACUUAAGACUGCUGGGCUCAGCCCAGCAUCAUUGAUGGAUGAGAGAGAGUCAAGAUGCUGGCUUUCUUGCUCCUUCGUCUUCGGACUUCUGUUUCCUGUUGCCACCUUGCAGAGGGCUUCCAGGAUUAAGUACCAAGAAUAGAAGAUUGACCUGAGAAAAACAGCUCAAUGCAUCGAAGUAGGAAGAAAUGUUAGCCUUAUGAGCUUCUAGCCUUCUCAACUUGAGCACCCAUCCUGAACGGAUCAACCACGUUGAAUUGUCUAGCUCACAUCAUGAGGACCAUCAUAGAUCUAAAGCUAUUGGGCUCUCCCUGAAAGAUCUAGACUGCGUAAGCCUCCCACUCUGGGACUUUGGCCUAACCCUAAUGGAAACAAGAUUAGAAGUUUGAUUUAGAAAAGUGAACUGAUGUGGUGUGUCUUGCAUGCAUUGGUGGUGGUCAUGAGUUCACACUGGCCGUAUUUGCAUGGUUCCAGAGAUACCACUUCUGUUUUAGGAACUUCUUUGGAAAAAGAUGAGCAUUUUUUUUUUUAAACGUUAGCAAGUAUAUUUACUGGGUAUUUAAGCAAUAUCUCAGGGACCAUGAUGGCAUAGUCCCUGUGGUGAUGAAUUUCUAACAUGGCAAUUUAUUACUUUUGAUUAAUAUACAGUUAUUAUU
Long non-coding RNA from Canis lupus familiaris (dog), 1867 nucleotides. RefSeq lists it as uncharacterized. NCBI's taxonomy places the organism in Eukaryota, Metazoa, Chordata, Mammalia, Carnivora, Canidae. The record is from RefSeq and is a predicted model, not a curated record. The transcript is spliced from 11 exons.